CCAAAGUAAUAGAAGCAUUUGGUGGAGUAAUAUGGAAAAUACCAGCCAGGCUCUCCGCCAUCAUUUCUGCUGCUGUUACUGACACAUUGAUCACUCCUUCCAAUACGCUGGCGUGGCACCAGCUCUGCCCCCCGAGCAUUACCGCAGACCCCCCAUAAAUUAGUGAUUCCAUAGCUGAUUUCCUCUGGUGUUACCAACACAUACAUCACUGCUUCCAAUACACCAGUGUGGCACCAGCUCUGCCCCCGAGCAUUACCGCAGACCACCAGAGAUUAGUGAUUCCAUAGCUGACUACUACUUCCAAUACGCAGGUGUGGCACCAGCUCUGCCCCUGAGAAUCACCGCAGACCCCCAUAGACUGUAGUGAUUGUCUGUAUGGUUUCUGCUUCCAAUAUGCAGGUGUGGCACCAGCUCUGCCCCUGAGAAUUACCGCAGACCCCCAUAGAUUAGUGAUUCUAUAGCUGAUUUCCUCUGCUGUUACCAACACAUACAUCACUGCUUCCAAUACACCAGUGUGGCACCAGCUCUGCCCCCGAGCAUUACAGCAGACCACCAGAGAUUAGUGAUUCCAUAGCUGACUACUACUUCCAAUAUGCAGGUGUGGCACCAGCUCUGCCCCUGAGAAUUACCGCAGACCCCCAUAGAUUAGUGAUUCCAUAGCUGACUACUACUUCCAAUAUGCAGGCGUGGCACCAGCUCUGCCCCCCGAGCAUUACCGCAGACCCCCAUAGAUUAGUGAUUCCAUAGCUGAUUUCCUCUGGUGUUACCAACACAUACAUCACUGCUUCCAAUACACCAGUGUGGUACCAGCUCUGCCCCCCGAUCAUUACCGCAGACCCCCAUAGAUUAGUGAUUCCAUAGCUGACUACUACUUCCAAUACGCUGGCGUGGCACCAGCUCUGCCCCCGAGCAUUACAGCAGACCACCAGAGAUUAGUGAUUCCAUAGCUGACUACUACUUCCAAUACGCAGGUGUGGCACCAGCUCUGCCCCUGAGAAUCACUGCAGACCCCCAUAGACUGUAGUGAUUGUCUGUAUGGUUUCUGCUUCCAAUACGCAGGUGUGGCACCAGCUCUGCCCCUGAGAAUCACUGCAGACCCCCAUAGACUGUAGUGAUUGUCUGUAUGGUUUCUGCUUCCAAUACGCAGGUGUGGCACCAGCUCUGCCCCUGAGAAUCACCGCAGACCCCCACAGACUGUAGUGAUUGUCUAUAUGGUUUCUGCUUCCAAUACGCAGGCGUGGCACCAGCUCUGCCCCCAAGCAUUACCGCAGAACCCCAUAGAUUAGUGAUUCCAUAGCUGAUUUCCUCUGGUGUUACCAACACAUACAUCACUGCUUCCAAUACACCAGUGUGGCACCAGCUCUGCCCCCGAGCAUUACAGCAGACCCCCACAGACUGUAGUGAUUGUCUAUAUGGUUUCUGCUUUCAAUACGCAGGUGUGGCACCAGCUCUGUCCGAGAAUCACCGCAGACCCCCCAUAGACUGUAGUGAUUGUCUGUAUGGUUUCUGCUUCCAUUACGCAGGUGUGGCACCAGCUCUGUCCGAGAAUCACCGCAGACCCCCAUAGACUGUAGUGAUUGUCUGUAUGGUUUCUGCUUCCAAUACGCAGGUGUGGCACCAGCUCUGCCCCUGAGAAUUACCGCAGACCCCCAUAGACUGUAGUGCUUGUCUAUAUGGUUUCUGCUUCCAAUACGCAGGUGUGGCACCAGCUCUGCCCCUGAGAAUCACUGCAGCCCCCCAUAGACUGUAGUGAUUGUCUGUAUGGUUUCUGCUUCCAAUACACAGGUGUGGCACCAGCUCUGCCCCUGAGAAUCACUGCAGCCCCCCAUAGACUGUAGUGAUUGUCUGUAUGGUUUCUGCUUCCAAUACACAGGUGUGGCACCAGCUCUGCCCCUGAGAAUCACUGCAGCCCCCCAUAGACUGUAGUGAUUGUCUGUAUGGUUUCUGCUUCCAAUACGCAGGUGUGGCACCAGCUCUGUCCGAGAAUCACCGCAGACCCCCAUAGACUGUAGUGAUUGUCUAUAUGGUUUCUGCUUCCAAUAGGCAGGUGUGGCACCAGCUCUGCCCCUGAGAAUCACCGCAGCCCCCCAUAGACUGUAGUGAUUGUCUAUAUGGUUUCUGCUUCCAAUACGCAGGUGUGGCACCAGCUCUGCCCCUGAGAAUUACCGCAGACCCCCAUAGACUGUAGUGCUUGUCUAUAUGGUUUCUGCUUCCAAUACGCAGGUGUGGCACCAGCUCUGCCCCUGAGAAUCACUGCAGCCCCCCAUAGACUGUAGUGAUUGUCUGUAUGGUUUCUGCUUCCAAUACACAGGUGUGGCACCAGCUCUGUCCGAGAAUCACCGCAGACCCCCAUAGACUGUAGUGAUUGUCUAUAUGGUUUCUGCUUCCAAUAGGCAGGUGUGGCACCAGCUCUGUCCCUGAGAAUCACUGCAGCCCCCCAUAGACUGUAGUGAUUGUCUGUAUGGUUUCUGCUUCCAAUACGCAGGUGUGGCACCAGCUCUGUCCGAGAAUCACCGCAGACCCCCAUAGACUGUAGUGAUUGUCUAUAUGGUUUCUGCUUCCAAUAGGCAGGUGUGGCACCAGCUCUGUCCCUGAGAAUCACUGCAGCCCCCCAUAGACUGUAGUGAUUGUCUGUAUGGUUUCUGCUUCCAAUACGCAGGUGUGGCACCAGCUCUGCCCCUGAGAAUCACCGCAGCCCCCCAUAGACUGUAGUGAUUGUCUGUAUGGUUUCUGCUUCCAAUACACAGGUGUGGCACCAGCUCUGCCCCUGAGAAUCACUGCAGCCCCCCAUAGACUGUAGUGAUUGUCUGUAUGGUUUCUGCUUCCAAUAGGCAGGUGUGGCACCAGCUCUGUCCCUGAGAAUCACUGCAGCCCCCCAUAGACUGUAGUGAUUGUCUGUAUGGUUUCUGCUUCCAAUACGCAGGUGUGGCACCAGCUCUGCCCCUGAGAAUCACCGCAGCCCCCCAUAGACUGUAGUGAUUGUCUGUAUGGUUUCUGCUUCCAAUACACAGGUGUGGCACCAGCUCUGCCCCUGAGAAUCACUGCAGCCCCCCAUAGACUGUAGUGAUUGUCUGUAUGGUUUCUGCUUCCAAUACACAGGUGUGGCACCAGCUCUGUCCGAGAAUCACCGCAGACCCCCAUAGACUGUAGUGAUUGUCUAUAUGGUUUCUGCUUCCAAUAGGCAGGUGUGGCACCAGCUCUGUCCCUGAGAAUCACUGCAGCCCCCCAUAGACUGUAGUGAUUGUCUGUAUGGUUUCUGCUUCCAAUACACAGGUGUGGCACCAGCUCUGCCCCUGAGAAUCACUGCAGCCCCCCAUAGACUGUAGUGAUUGUCUGUAUGGUUUCUGCUUCCAAUACACAGGUGUGGCACCAGCUCUGUCCGAGAAUCACCGCAGACCCCCAUAGACUGUAGUGAUUGUCUAUAUGGUUUCUGCUUCCAAUAGGCAGGUGUGGCACCAGCUCUGUCCCUGAGAAUCACUGCAGCCCCCCAUAGACUGUAGUGAUUGUCUGUAUGGUUUCUGCUUCCAAUACGCAGGUGUGGCACCAGCUCUGUCCGAGAAUCACCGCAGACCCCCAUAGACUGUAGUGAUUGUCUAUAUGGUUUCUGCUUCCAAUAGGCAGGUGUGGCACCAGCUCUGUCCCUGAGAAUCACUGCAGCCCCCCAUAGACUGUAGUGAUUGUCUGUAUGGUUUCUGCUUCCAAUACGCAGGUGUGGCACCAGCUCUGCCCCUGAGAAUCACCGCAGCCCCCCAUAGACUGUAGUGAUUGUCUGUAUGGUUUCUGCUUCCAAUACACAGGUGUGGCACCAGCUCUGCCCCUGAGAAUCACUGCAGCCCCCCAUAGACUGUAGUGAUUGUCUGUAUGGUUUCUGCUUCCAAUACGCAGGUGUGGCACCAGCUCUGUCCCUGAGAAUCACCGCAGACCCCCAUAGACUGUAGUGAUUGUCUGUAUGGUUUCUGCUUCCAAUACGCAGGUGUGGCACCAGCUCUGCCCCUGAGAAUCACCGCAGACCCCCAUAGACUGUAGUGAUUGUCUGUAUGGUUUCUGCUUCCAAUACGCAGGUGUGGCACCAGCUCUGCCCCUGAGAAUCACCGCAGACCCCCCAUAGACUGUAGUGAUUGUCUGUAUGGUUUCUGCUUCCAAUACGCAGGUGUGGCACCAGCUCUGCCCCUGAGAAUCACCGCAGACCCCCCAUAGACUGUAGUGAUUGUCUAUAUGUUUUCUGCUGCUGUUACUGAAACACAAAUCUCAGCUCAUUUAUAGGACAAAGUGAAUGUGAAGUCCGAGGCCAAAGGGAAAACAGAUUUUCAUUAUUUUUCUGAGUAUGAGAGAAACCACUGACCCUUCUGUGCCUUAAUGUACAAAUACCAAAGAGCCCUCCAGCUGCUUGUGAAAUAUAAUCACUGUGUGUAUUAUAAUGUAACGCAUCAUUAUACAAUGUUAUCUGCAUGCGUGUUUAUUACUGUGAUCUUGUUCUAUGUGAAGAUGAGAUGCGGAGAUUGGACUCAUUACUGUGGGUUAUAGUACAGCACCGAGCAGACUCAUUCUCCGUGUCAGGAUGUGGAGCUGCUGCACGGAACCCAAACCAGCCCCAGAACUCAUCCGUCACAUUAUAAAUCCCACAGUAUAGUUGGCGGAGCCCAGUAGAGCUUCUCUGGAUCCAGCUGGAUGUCCCAUUUACAUGGUCCUGUAGUAGAGGGAUGGACGAGGAUGAUGUCAUUGGUUGGAUUUCCCAUUGAUCACAUCCCAUCCACAGUCACAUUGUAAAUUGGAGGAGGGCUGACCGGGCACAAAUCGCUGUUGCAGUAUUAAUCCCCAAAUAUAUCUUGUUAGCCCCAAUUACACCCCCAUCAGUGUUGUAUCCAUGGUACGAUGUGGCCUUGUGCCCUGGCUCUUGGUGAAAGUUCCUGGGCUGCUGCAUCUCCCCUGUGUGGGCUGGGGGCCAGUGUCUGGACGUUCCGUAUAAAGGGUCCUCCGCAAUCUCUUCUCACAUCUACCUCUGCCCUGUGCUUGUUCCCAUGAUACUGACGUGUGGAGUGUGUGACAUUUGUAUAACACUAAAUAAAGAUGAUUGUGAUUUGUUACUGA
Pseudophryne corroboree (corroboree frog) is the source of this 5088-nucleotide long non-coding RNA. RefSeq lists it as uncharacterized. The record is from RefSeq and is a predicted model, not a curated record. The transcript has 2 exons. NCBI's taxonomy places the organism in Eukaryota, Metazoa, Chordata, Amphibia, Anura, Myobatrachidae.